This 485-nucleotide ribosomal RNA is filed under the name uncultured bacterium. RNAcentral's name for it is "partial 16S ribosomal RNA". It matches the Rfam family "Bacterial small subunit ribosomal RNA", at positions 30 to 507 of the family's 1533-position model. The record is from RNAcentral.
AUUGAACGCUGGCGGCAGGCUUAACACAUGCAAGUCGAGCGGAGAUGAGGUGCUUGCACCUUAUCUUAGCGGCGGACGGGUGAGUAAUGCUUAGGAAUCUGCCAUUUAGUGGGGGACAACAUUCCGAGAGGAAUGCUAAUACCGCAUACGUCCUACGGGAGAAAGCAGGGGAUCUUCGUACCUUGCGCUAAAUGAUGAGCCUAAGUCGGAUUAGCUAGGUGGUGGGGUAAAGGCCUACCAAGGCGACGAUCUGUAGCGGGUCUGAGAGGAUGAUCCGCCACACUGGGACUGAGACACGGCCCAGACUCCUACGGGAGGCAGCAGUGGGGAAUAUUGGACAAUGGGGGGAACCCUGAUCCAACCAUGCCGCGUGUGUGAAGAAGGCCUUAUGGUUGGAAAGCACGUUAAGCGAGGAGGAGGCUACUGAGACUAAUACUCUUGGAUAGGGGACGGUACUCGCAGAAUAAGCACCGGCUAACUCUGUG